CCCGAAAGGUUAAUCAGAGGGUUUCGGACACGGCCGAAAUUUUUGGGUACCCUGGUGAAGAACCCUGCUGUCUGCGCAAUGGAAUUAGGGUCAACAAGUAUCUGUACUCGGACAUAGACCAGCAUGCAAGGAUGGUGGCCGCCGCGCGAUUGCCAGCACUCAGCGCUGCCUAUCCCCAGUUAUUUCCGCUCUCAGCAUGGAGCGAUACAUUUAUAGCACUGUCUCAG
Molecule: long non-coding RNA, 227 nt
Filed under: Volvox carteri
Lineage: Eukaryota; Viridiplantae; Chlorophyta; Chlorophyceae; Chlamydomonadales; Volvocaceae
Description: long non-coding RNA (VCAR_LNC003640)
Source: RNAcentral